GAUGAACGCUGGCGGCGUGCCUAAUACAUGCAAGUCGAGCGAACGGACGAGAAGCUUGCUUCUCUGAUGUUAGCGGCGGACGGGUGAGUAACACGUGUAUAACCCACCUAUAAGACUGGGAUAACUUCGGGAAACCGUAGCUAAUACCGGAUAAUAUUUUGAACCGCAUGGUUCAAAAGUGAAAGACGGUCUUGCUGUCACUUAUAGAUGGAUCCGCGCUGCAUUAGCUAGUUGGUAAGGUAACGGCUUACCAAGGCGACGAUGCAUAGACGACCUGAGAGGGUGAUCGGCCACACUGGAACUGAGACACGGUCCAGACUCCUACGGGAGGCAGCAGUAGGGAAUCUUCCGCAAUGGGCGGAAGCCUGACGGAGCAACGCCGCGUGAGUGAUGAAGGUCUUCGGAUCGUAAAACUCUGUUAUUAGGGAAGAACAGAUGUGUAAGUAACUGUGCACAUCGUGACGGUACCUAAUCAGAAAGCCACGGCUAACUACGUG
This 497-nucleotide ribosomal RNA is filed under the name uncultured bacterium. RNAcentral describes it as "partial 16S ribosomal RNA". It matches the Rfam family "Bacterial small subunit ribosomal RNA", at positions 28 to 507 of the family's 1533-position model. The record is from RNAcentral.